AUUGAACGCUGGCGGCAGGCCUAACACAUGCAAGUCGAGCGGUAGAGAGAAGCUUCCUUCUCUUGAGAGCGGCGGACGGGUGAGUAAAGCCUAGGAAUCUGCCUGGUAGUGGGGGAUAACGUUCGGAAACGGACGCUAAUACCGCAUACGUCCUACGGGACAAAGCAGGGGACCUUCGGGCCUUGCGCUAUCAGAUGAGCCUAUGUCGGAUUAGCUAGUUGGUGAGGUAAUGGCUCACCAAGGCGACGAUCCGUAACUGGUCUGAGAGGAUGACCAGCUACACUGGACCUGAGACACGGUCCAGACUCCUACGGGAGGCAGCAGUGGGGAAUAUUGGGCAAUGGGCGAAAUCCUGACCCAGCCAUGCCGCGUGUGUGAAGAAGGUCUUCGGAUUGUAAAGCACUUUAAGUUGGGAGGAAGGGUUGUAGAUUAAUACUCUGCAAUUUUGACGUUACCGACAGAGUAAGCACCGGCUAACUCCGUGCCAGCCGCCGCCGUAA
This 500-nucleotide ribosomal RNA is filed under the name uncultured bacterium. RNAcentral's name for it is "partial 16S ribosomal RNA". It matches the Rfam family "Bacterial small subunit ribosomal RNA", at positions 30 to 523 of the family's 1533-position model. The record is from RNAcentral.